Molecule: microRNA precursor, 103 nt
Filed under: Marmota monax (woodchuck)
Lineage: Eukaryota; Metazoa; Chordata; Mammalia; Rodentia; Sciuridae
Source: RNAcentral
AGUGUGAUUACUGGAUUGUGUGGUAAGGUUAUACGUAGUUUUGUGAGAGAACGUCAUACUGUUUUCCAAAGUGACUGUACUAUUUUGCAUUUUCACUAGGAAU